RNAcentral lists this ribosomal RNA (500 nucleotides) under uncultured bacterium. RNAcentral's name for it is "partial 16S ribosomal RNA". It matches the Rfam family "Bacterial small subunit ribosomal RNA", at positions 30 to 523 of the family's 1533-position model. The record is from RNAcentral.
AUUGAACGCUGGCGGAAUGCUUUACACAUGCAAGUCGAACGGCAGCACGGACUUCGGUCUGGUGGCGAGUGGCGAACGGGUGAGUAAUGUACCGGAACGUGCCCAGUCGUGGGGGAUAACGUAGUGAAAAUUACGCUAAUACCGCAUACGAUCUAUGGAUGAAAGCGGGGGAUCGCAAGACCUCGCGCGAUUGGAGCGGCCGAUAUCAGAUUAGGUAGUUGGCGGGGUAAAGGCCCACCAAGCCAACGAUCUGUAGCUGGUCUGAGAGGACGACCAGCCACACUGGAACUGAGACACGGUCCAGACUCCUACGGGAGGCAGCAGUGGGGAAUUUUGGACAAUGGGCGAAAGCCUGAUCCAGCCAUUCCGCGUGCAGGAUGAAGGCCCUCGGGUUGUAAACUGCUUUUGUACAGAACGAAAAGGUUUCUACUAAUACUAGGAGCUCAUGACGGUACUGUAAGAAUAAGCACCGGCUAACUACGUGCCAGCCGCCGCAGUAA